Molecule: non-coding RNA, 3369 nt
Organism: Globicephala melas (long-finned pilot whale)
Lineage: Eukaryota; Metazoa; Chordata; Mammalia; Artiodactyla; Delphinidae
Source: RefSeq, a predicted model, not a curated record
AUGGCAUUUCUUAAAUAUUAGGAAGGCAGCACUUUUGAGAUUUAAAUUCUGCAUCUAGCCUGCAAUCAUUUUUACCUCGUGUUAAAUAAAAGUACCACGUCAGAGGAGGGGCUGGGAGCGAGUUAAGUGAAAUGGAUACGGAACUUAGACACCUUCUCGGGAGGCUGCCUGGCGAGGGCGCCUGGUGGAGCGGGGAUGCCCUUCUACUGGUGACCGAUUGCAGGCCUGGGCAAAUAUUUCCCAUCACCCCCUCCCUGGGCAGUUGUGUGUGGGUUUAGUUUGUUCUGAAAGUCCUUUCAAGGACACAAAUAGUCCCAGAGCUUUCUUUAGUCUUUCAAAAGUGCCUUCGUUAUCUGUCCCAAGUUUAUCCAUAGAGAUUUUGGAGGAAUAUUUUUUACUUCCUUCAAGCUGAGUAGUUUACAACUGCUUUCCUCUCCUUCGGGGGGUCCCAGCACCCUGCUGAUCUCUUCCUAGGAGAAUGACACGCAGAGUGAAGAGACUAGGACCUGAAUGCGCUCACCUGCUGUCCCUCGUUCUGUGACUUACGAGCUUUUCUCAGGCUCAUCCAGGUGACACCCAGCAAGCCGGCCCCUCCAGCCCCUCACCCACCCGCCCCAGAUGUAGCCGGAGUCUUCGGAAAGGUCGUAGAUGUUUGCGAACGCCUGGCUGGCUGUUUGGAAACAUUUUGUCAGUGCGGAAUAGGAACUGCAGGCAGAAGAGCCGAAGCUGCCUCCCCAGAGCGGGUCCCUGGACCCAGGCUCAUUUCACCUGCUCCCAGCCCUUCCUGAGGGUCCCACCAUCUGAACAGCCCUGCGCGGGCUGUGGCCAUUCUCCAGCCCCUGGGCGGCGAGCCUGCUCUUUGGACAAUGCAGGCAGGGCAGAGGAAAAGGCAGACCUCAGAAGGGCUGUCAUCCCACAGUGGGGUUCCUCCCGGCACCCCUGUGAAUUGGCUGCUACCGAGCCUGUUUCCCAGGGCCUUUAGUUGUUGCUUGUCUCCUCAGCCCCUGGAGGCUGUAAUUCCUUCCAGAAUGCUUGCUUUAUUUUCAUGUUUCUAGUCUUCCAUGCUGUGUACACAAUACGAGGAAAAGAAAACACUGCGUGUGUGCUUCUACGGGCGUAAGAAAGUGACCUGAGCAAUUCUGCACCUAACCUAGUGGAAGAAAGACUCUCAAAGUCUGCAAGAAUGGUACCAUAGACAUAGAUAUAGAUAUCACUGCAGAUUCGGGAGAAAACAAUCCGUGAACUUCUACUCUUCGCAAGAACCGUGCUAGGCGCUGCCAGGAGCACAGAGAGAAGGCAGAGGGUGUGGACCCAAGGGCGGGAGGCCGAGAGGACCAGCUGAUGUGGGGAGGAGAGGAGACAGGAGAUCCGGACCAGCUCCAAGACGGACGUGGCGGAAGUACUGGAAUCGUUGAGGGUCCAUUCACCAACGAUCGCCCAAACAGUUGUUCUUUUUAUAAAAGCAUCGAGAUCCUUCCGUGUAUGAUGCACCUCCUGCCUGUUUCACCAGCCCUGCGGAGGAAGCCUCUUGCCAGGUCAUUAAACCACCAUCAGAGUCACGCCUGGAAUCCCACGAUGGAGGAGGCUGUACCGUCCCCGAUUUAACCCCCUGUUGUCCCCCUCCCCCAUGCCAACAUCUUGGUCACUCUGACAAGCCUUUCUGCUCACAUUCUCCAGGAGACUUCCUUGGAGAUGCCAUGGCUGUCUGAGAGGCAUCCGGGGUCCCGAUUGGACACCUGGCCCAGCCUGCUCAGGACAGCACAGCCCCAGGGAGGAGGGUGGUACCUGGUGGCCAAGAGCAGACUCUCAGAAACCGAGGGCUCCCAGGCGGUCCUGGAGACCCGCAGCCUCAGGCCACCACAGAAGGGCUUGGGGGCUGUGGAAAAGGGAGAGGCCUCAUCCCCCGGUUGCCAAGGCGACGCGGAAGCCUCUGAUUGCCCAGGAGGACCCAUGGCUCAGCAUCGGGCUUUUUCAGUACAGCCUACAAAGGUGUUUUCGUUCAUUCUGACCUGGUUUUCAUGGAUUUUGGUAUUGUUGUGUUGUUUGUUUAAAAAGAAAACACAUGGACUUACGUCAUGAAGAGGCAAAGACGUCACUGGCAUCAACUAAUAAAAAUGAUCAUAAACUCGUCCCCAGACUGAGCACCCGUAAUGACAGCUGACAGGUCCAGUGUGACACCUAAUGAGCCGUGCGAAGGCACAGGAUGUGGACAAAGUGGGACGAGGUCCCGUGGCAUUAGCACACCACUGUCAAGCUCGCAUCUGCUUGGUGGUUCCCGCUAAACCAGAAAACCAAACUUUGGUGGGAAAAAAGCAAAAUUUUCGUGUAGGACAGAGCUCAGUCUAAAACCCCUCAGAACGGGUGAGAGUUUUAAAUCGAGCAGAGCCUUUCAGGGUGCCUGGACCAGGAAGAAGGUCCAACCAGCACUGCCUCAGGGCCAGGAAUCUCUGGGUCACCCCGAGGCCUCAAAGGAGGUUUCCAGAACCUUCUUCUCAUAGAUAAACCACAGACCAGAAGUCAGCAGGCAGGGUUUGAAGACCUGGGCCACCAGCAUUGGAACUGCCUAAGUCUCAGAUCCCCAAACCAGCUGGGUUUCCUUCCGUUUUCUCAGAAUGGGUGUGCAGGUGCACGAGGAUGCCAUGGGCCACCUCCUGGUUUCCCUCGGCAACAUCUGACAGCAGACAUGGGAUGGUCUAUGAUGCUGUGAGGUAUUGGGAUCAUGUGGAAUCCGAAAGAAGUUUAAGCACCUAAAAAAACAGAGGAAGGGCUAGAGGCCUGGGCAUUCCCAGCCCACUUCAGCAUUUGUUCCCCUCGGACAGAGGGACUCCCAAGUGCUCUCAGGGCGAGUCCGCCUCUGUCCAGGCCUGCAGGUACACGCAGAGUCCUGGGCUGACUUGGGACCCGGUUGAAGCCUCUUUCCUUGUUGUCCAUGGUGACACGCAGAGCUGGCUGCAGGACCGGGGACCAGUCAGCGUCACGGCAUCAGGGCAGUGGCGGGAGCUGGGCUCUGUCAACUCUGACAAUUUUAUUUAUCUUAAUUUAUUUAUUUACUUUGGCCACACAGCGUGGCAUGCGGGAUCUUAGUUCCCUGACCAGGGAUUGAAUCCGGGCCCCCUGCAGUGGAAGUGUGGAGUCUUAACCACCGGACGGCCAGGGAAGUCCCAGCUUUGACAAUUUUAUAUCUUGUUUUUUCUAUUUAUAUAAAGGGAAUUUCUCUGUGUCAUUUUAUUUAAAGACGUUAUCUUCAGCGUUUAAUAUUCCGUCAUGUCUAAUAUUUAUUUCACACUUCCAUUUAUUUAACAUUUCACCUAUUUUCAGACAUGUGUUGUUUUUACACAAGCUAUGUGGCUUCAAACAACAGAAGUCCAU